GGUGGAGCUAAUCCCCUAAACCAUGCCCCAGUGCAGAUUGAGGGUUGCAACUCACCCUCAUGAAGUUGAAAUCCCUAGUAGUCGCUGUUCACCAUACAGCGGCGAAUAUGUCCCUGUUCCUUGCACACACCGCCCGUCAAACCAAUCGAGUGGACUUGAGGUGAAGCAUACUCUUUAGGGUGUGUUGAAUCUCGGGUUCGCGAGAGGGGUUAAGUCGUAACAAGGUAACCGUAGGGGAAUCUGCGGUUGGAUCACCUCCA
This 260-nucleotide ribosomal RNA is filed under the name Candidatus Altarchaeota archaeon. RNAcentral's name for it is "partial 16S ribosomal RNA". It matches the Rfam family "Archaeal small subunit ribosomal RNA", at positions 1217 to 1478 of the family's 1478-position model. The record is from RNAcentral. Lineage: Archaea; Nanobdellati; Candidatus Altarchaeota.